RNAcentral lists this ribosomal RNA (500 nucleotides) under uncultured bacterium. RNAcentral's name for it is "partial 16S ribosomal RNA". It matches the Rfam family "Bacterial small subunit ribosomal RNA", at positions 30 to 523 of the family's 1533-position model. The record is from RNAcentral.
AUUGAACGCUGGCGGCAUGCCUUACACAUGCAAGUCGAACGGCAGCGGGGACUUCGGUCCGCCGGCGAGUGGCGAACGGGUGAGUAAUGUAUCGGAACGUACCAUUGAGUGGGGGAUAACGUAGCGAAAGUUACGCUAAUACCGCAUAUUCUCUCCGGAGGAAAGCAGGGGACCGCAAGGCCUUGCGCUCUUUGAGCGGCCGAUAUCAGAUUAGCUAGUUGGUGGGGUAAAAGCUCACCAAGGCGACGAUCUGUAGCGGGUCUGAGAGGAUGAUCGGCCACAAGGGAACUGAGACACGGUCCAGACUCCUACGGGAGGCAGCAGUGGGGAAUUUUGGACAAUGAGGGCAACCCUGAUCCAGCCAUGCCGCGUGAGUGAAGAAGGCCUUCGGGUUGUAAAGCUCUUUCGGCCGGGAAAAAAGCGCAUGGGUUAAUACCCUGUGUGGAUGAUGGUACCGGAAUAAGAAGCACCGGCUAACUACGUGCCAGCCGCCGCGGUAA